RNAcentral lists this ribosomal RNA (249 nucleotides) under uncultured euryarchaeote. RNAcentral's name for it is "partial 16S ribosomal RNA". It matches the Rfam family "Archaeal small subunit ribosomal RNA", at positions 478 to 726 of the family's 1478-position model. The record is from RNAcentral. Lineage: Archaea; Methanobacteriati; Methanobacteriota.
GGCGGCCCGAGUGGUAACCGUUUUUAUUGGGUUUAAAGGGUCCGUAGCCGGCUUACUAAGUCUCUUGGGAAAUCUGGCGGCUCAAUCGUCAGGCGUCCAAGAGAUACUGGUAGGCUUGGGACGGGGAGAGGUGGGAGGUACUCCAGGGGUAGGGGUGAAAUCUCGUAAUCCUUGGGGGACCACCGAUGGCGAAGGCAUCCCACCAGAACGGGUCCGACGGUGAGGGACGAAAGCUGGGGGCACGAACCG